GAUGAACGCUGCCGCCUGCCUUAUUCCUUCAAGUUCAGCCGACAGACCAGGAGCUUUCUUCCCUUACGUUUGCGGCCGACCGGUGAGUUACCCCUUGAUUACCUACCCUUAAGACUUGGAUUACUUCCGGAAACCCGGGCCUAUUCCCGAUUAUUUUUUUGACCCCAUGGUUUCAUAGUGAAAGACCGUUUUUCCUUUACUUAUUAGUGGAUUCCGCGCCGCAUUAGCUAGUUGGUAAGGUAACGGCUUACCAAGGCAACGAUGCGUAGCCGACCUGAGAGGGUGAUCGGCCACACUGGAACUGAGACACGGUCCAGACUCCUACGGGAGGCAGCAGUAGGGAAUCUUCCGCAAUGGGCGAAAGCCUGACGGAGCAACGCCGCGUGAGUGAUGAAGGUCUUCGGAUCGUAAAACUCUGUUAUUAGGGAAGAACAAAUGUGUAAGUAACUAUGCACGUCUUGACGGUACCUAAUCAGAAAGCCACGGCUAACUACGUG
This 497-nucleotide ribosomal RNA is filed under the name uncultured bacterium. RNAcentral describes it as "partial 16S ribosomal RNA". It matches the Rfam family "Bacterial small subunit ribosomal RNA", at positions 28 to 507 of the family's 1533-position model. The record is from RNAcentral.